This 430-nucleotide ribosomal RNA is filed under the name uncultured bacterium. RNAcentral describes it as "bacterial SSU rRNA". It matches the Rfam family "Bacterial small subunit ribosomal RNA", at positions 354 to 796 of the family's 1533-position model. The record is from RNAcentral.
GUGGGGAAUAUUGCACAAUGGGCGAAAGCCUGAUGCAGCAACGCCGCGUGAGGGAUGACGGCCUUCGGGUUGUAAACCUCUUUUAGUAGGGAAGAAGCGUAAGUGACGGUACCUGCAGAAAAAGCACCGGCUAACUACGUGCCAGCAGCCGCGGUAAUACGUAGGGUGCAAGCGUUGUCCGGAAUUAUUGGGCGUAAAGAGCUCGUAGGCGGCUUGUCGCGUCUGCUGUGAAAUCCCGGAGCUCAACUCCGGGCCUGCAGUGGGUACGGGCAGGCUAGAGUGCGGUAGGGGAGAUUGGAAUUCCUGGUGUAGCGGUGGAAUGCGCAGAUAUCAGGAGGAACACCGAUGGCGAAGGCAGAUCUCUGGGCCGCUACUGACGCUGAGGAGCGAAAGCAUGGGGAGCGAACAGGAUUAGAUACCCGGGUAGUCC